RNAcentral lists this ribosomal RNA (393 nucleotides) under bacterium enrichment culture. RNAcentral describes it as "bacterial SSU rRNA". It matches the Rfam family "Bacterial small subunit ribosomal RNA", at positions 975 to 1392 of the family's 1533-position model. The record is from RNAcentral.
CAACCCUUGACAUCCCCGGACAGCGCCAGAGAUGGCGUCUCCACUUCGGUGGCCGGGAGACAGGUGCUGCAUGGCUGUCGUCAGCUCGUGUCGUGAGAUGUUCGGUUAAGUCCGCCACCAAGCGCAACCCACGUCCCCAGUUGCCAGCAUUCAGUUGGGCACUCUGUGGAAACUGCCGAUGAUAAGUCGGAGGAAGGUGUGGAUGACGUCAAGUCCUCAUGGCCCUUACGGGUUGGGCUACACACGUGCUACAAUGGCAGUGACAAUGGGCUAAUCCCAAAAGCUGUCUCAGUUCCGGAUUGUCCUCUGCAACUCGAGGGCAUGAAGUUGGAAUCGCUAGUAAUCGCGUAACACCAUGACGCGGUGAAUACGUUCCCGGUCUUGGACCCACCG